Long non-coding RNA from Daphnia magna, 348 nucleotides. RefSeq lists it as uncharacterized. The record is from RefSeq and is a predicted model, not a curated record. The transcript is spliced from 2 exons. NCBI's taxonomy places the organism in Eukaryota, Metazoa, Arthropoda, Branchiopoda, Diplostraca, Daphniidae.
UCUUCCUUGUUAAAACACGUGUUUUCUGAAAUGUCUUAAUUUCUGCUGCAAAUACGAAGAACCCAAUGUUUGUUUUCGGUGUGGAUAAACUUCACAGCUAUUACUACUUUUACUAGAAGUUACAAACGAAAUUGUCUCCCAAACUUAGACAGAACAAGCAAAUACGUAUAAGGAGUUGUUGAACAGCGACAGAGGAACUUUUUAUCUGGAUUCGAACCUUGGGGAAUAGGAAGAAAAUUUGGCUCACUCCAACCAGGGAAAAAAACAAUGAAUUUUCUUUCUUUUUCUAGCUUGUUUUUCGAAAAUUGCACAUUGUUGCCGAGACACAAAAUAAACACAUACAUAUAA